This is a non-coding RNA of Plectropomus leopardus (leopard coralgrouper), 967 nucleotides long. Lineage: Eukaryota; Metazoa; Chordata; Actinopteri; Perciformes; Serranidae. The record is from RefSeq and is a predicted model, not a curated record.
UAAUUAUUAUUUUUUUCUUAAUUGGGUACUUCUGUUGUUACUUAAAGUACAUUUUCCUGAUGAUACUUGUGUUACUAAAGUACCAUUUUCAAUGCAGAACUUGUAACAGUAUUUUCACAAGGUGUUAUUAAUAAUUCUUCCACCACUGCCAAUACUACAGUUUGCAGUCCAACAUGUGAAACUAGUUAAAAGGUAAAACCAGACAGGAGAAUCCUUCUUGCCACGUUUGCAUAACUGAGCACUAAAAGUUUCCAUGUUUUUAGCCAUGAUAUUGAAAUAUUGAUUCCAUUUUCCUGAUUUGAAAGGAGCCGAACCCACAGAGGACUGAACUCCACCAGCUGCAGCCAGACUCUCAGCCUGAAACUGCUUCGACAUUUCAGGACGGAGACGCAGGAAGAGAGAGAGACGGCCAAAAGAAGAGGGAGAAGAAGAAACAGGAGACCACGGGGAGAGUCAAGUUCCUGCCUACAGGUGUACGUGUGCAUGUGAGGCCUGGAGGCAUCAAACGGUUCUGUGCGUGAGAAAAACAGUGAGUUUUUCUCCAGAGAGGGGAAGAAUAUGGCCAAAUUCUGGGAACUCUGAUCUUCAAAAUCACAGCCUCUUGGGUCAGAGCGAGGUUGAUCUCUUGCAUGCUGGCUGUGGGAACCGCCGACACGCAUGCGAUGCACACACACGCAGCUGAGACCGCGGUCGAAUGUUUUAGACGCCCUGUGUCCAUAAAAGGUCAUAGAGAAACAUGUGAGCGAAAGAAAAUGGAGGAAGAAAGUUUUUCUUGUUGGAGGUUGGAAUGUAUGACAUGUCCAUUGAGAGUUUGCAUGCCUUCUCCCCCUCUAACCGCCUGUCUCUCAAAGCUCUGGUUCUCACUGUCUCCUCACCACUUUCUCUUGCAGAGCUUUGUGAUGGCACCCUGAGGGCCGACCAGGCUGAGCACAGCCCACUGGACCAGUUUGCCCAGUAUAAGCCACUG